AUAAAUCACUAAGAGACCUCUGGUGUAAUCAGCAACUUUACUAUGUUUAUUAAAGUCACAUAAAUGGUUUGACAAAAGUGCACAAUAGAAUGACAUCACUGGCUUGUUAUAGAUCACAGUGAAUUACUAGAAUACAAAAAUGUAGCCCCUCUACAUGAGGUCUGCAGAACGGGGUGAGUAUUAUAAAGGGCAGGAUCUUUGCAAGGGGUUCGGCCAGUCAGGUUCUAUUCCCCCACCACGUACCUCUGAAAAGACUGGUUAGGAAAGCUGAGGCUUUUACCCUCAUCUCUUCUCCUCUACCAAUUACUAAGCAACCACGAAAAGGCCAUGCACAAAUUUUACAACCUGAUAAAGAAUAGUAGAUACAAAAACCUGUUCACUGCACCACUUGGCAAUCUUGCAUCUUCGCUCCUUCAUUGUUCUGAUUAGGUCAUGUGUCACACGACUCACCCCUAGAGGAGCUGUUUUUAGCAACAUUCACCCCUGCACACACAUAAAGAUAUGCCCCAUAACCAUCAAGUCACUGUCCUUUCCCUGUACAGUAACACAAAGGUACACUCCACAAACCUAGGACCAGACCACAUUUCUUUACAGUGUAAAAAAUGAACAUAUCACCAUUAUCAGGGCAGUAUUUGUUUCCAGUUCUAUAUUUGGGGGAGGGGACAUGGUACAACCCAGGCCAUCUGAAGGUUUGGGUGAGCCUACAAGUGUCUCCCAAAGCCCUGCAAGGUGGUGACACACAGAAUGAGGCGUGUACUGCUCUCAAGAGAUGACCUGCAGAACAAACCUGUAGGAAUGAACACAGCUUAAAAUCUUGUGGACUAAAUAUUUUAAUAGAGCAGAAGGCAGAGUGUUGUGUUCUUUACCCCCUUUAAUGUUACAGUAUGGUCAGUGAGAAACAAUAUUCAUCUGUGGACUCACAUAGCUGUCUGGCCUGAAAAGGAACAGAAAAUCUACCUUAAGAGCCAGGCCUUGACUUCUGUCUACUCACUAGUUGGGCUGCUUCUAAACCCAGAAACUGUAACCCAAGGUCCACCAACUCACUCCUCAUGCUGCCCACUUCAAAAAAAAAUACAUAGAAAUUCUCCUGCUUGCCAGGGAUUUAACUCAGUGGUGCCGCCUGGCUCGAAAGCACAAGGUCCCAAGUUCCAUCCCCAGUACCAAAAAAAUAAAAAAAAAAUUCUCCUCCUGAAUAGUCUAAAGUAGUCUUAUUCAGAGUAGCUGCCUCAAUUAUGGCAACUGAGGGAUGGAUCUGCUGCCCACUCCUUGACUUAUGGACUUAUGUAAAUGCAAAUUCAAUUUCAACUCCAUUAAAAGCAGAAAACCCAGUCUCACAGGAUUUGUAAAUGAAAGCAUCCACGUGAGCCUGUAGUUACUCCAGAUUUACAUGACAAUUCCCAAGCAGGACAGAGAAGUCUUGAGCAAAUCUGUAACACUAUCAAGGAAGAGUUACAAUUCAAAGCAUAAUUCUAUCAGUAAUAAACAGCAAAGGUAAAAGUGCCUACAAAAUGAAGACAGCUUGGCGUUCUCAGUGAGCUGAGAUACAGAACUAUCUCGCCUUUCUUACCUAUUUAUUUUCCUUUUAAAAAAUUACGUUUAUGAAGGAUUUGGCUAACAU
This is a long non-coding RNA of Heterocephalus glaber (naked mole-rat), 1618 nucleotides long. The record is from Ensembl. NCBI's taxonomy places the organism in Eukaryota, Metazoa, Chordata, Mammalia, Rodentia, Bathyergidae.